AACCAUUCUCACCUGCGGCUAGACCUGCGGAGGGAUCAUUACCGGAGAGAGGCGACUCUCGAAGGCCCAAACCCACUGUGAAUCUACCUUGGCUUCUGUGCUUCGGCAGGCGGUCCCAGGGGGGACCUUUGCGUAACAGCGCCUGCCGGAGGACUUGAAAACUCUUUUUUUGACAUCUGUCUGAGAAGUUAGGCCUCGUUAGGGGUCGAGAAUCGCUAAAAACUUUUAGCAACGGAUCUC
This 240-nucleotide unclassified non-coding RNA is filed under the name soil metagenome. RNAcentral describes it as "partial contains 5.8S ribosomal RNA, internal transcribed spacer 2, and large subunit ribosomal RNA". The record is from RNAcentral.